GGGGGAGUAGCUCAGAGGGAGAGCGCCUCGCUCGCAUCGAGGAAGCCGUGGGUUCGAAUCCCAUCUCCUCCA
This 72-nucleotide transfer RNA is filed under the name bacterium. Its description in RNAcentral is "tRNA-Ala". It matches the Rfam family "tRNA". Rfam says of the family: Transfer RNA (tRNA) molecules are approximately 80 nucleotides in length. Their secondary structure includes four short double-helical elements and three loops (D, anti-codon, and T loops). The record is from RNAcentral.